AUACGGAGGGUGCAAGCGUUAUCCGGAUUUAUUGGGUUUAAAGGGUGCGUAGGCGGGGUGGUAAGUCAGUGGUGAAAUCCCACAGCUCAACUGUGGAACUGCCAUUGAAACUGCCAUUCUUGAAUAUAGUUGAAGUGAACGGAAUGUAACAUGUAGCGGUGAAAUGCAUAGAUAUGUUACAGAACACCAAUUGCGAAGGCAGUUCACUAAACUAUUAUUGACGCUCAGGCACGAAAGCGUGGGGAGCAAACAGGAUUAGAAACCCCAGUAGUCC
Molecule: ribosomal RNA, 274 nt
Filed under: uncultured bacterium
Lineage: Bacteria
Description: partial 16S ribosomal RNA
Rfam family: Bacterial small subunit ribosomal RNA
Source: RNAcentral